AAUGAACGCUGCUGGCGAGCCUUAAGCCUCGAAGUCGUGCGGCAAGGGUAGCAAUACCCCCAGAGCGGCGGACUGCCGAGUAACGCGUGGGUGAUCCCCCCCUGGUCUGGGGAUAGCCCCCAGAAAUCGUGGGUAAUACCGAAUACGGUGGCGAUGCUUGGGUCUUUACAUGAAUGGCGAUCAGACGCCGCCCGAGGAUGAUCCAGCGUCCCAUUAGCGAGUUGGUGAGGUAACGGCUCACCAAGGCGAUGAUGGGUAGGCGGCCUGAGAGGGUGUACGCCCACACUGGGACUGAGAUACGGCCCAGACUCCUACGGGAGGCAGCAGCUAAGAAUAUUCCGCAAUGGACGAAAGUCUGACGGAGCGACGCCGCGUGGAUGACGAAGGCCGAAAGGUUGUAAAAUCCUUUUGUUGGGGAAGAAUAAGGCUGGGAGGGAAUGCCCGGCUGAUGACAUGAACCGACGAAUAAGUCCCGGCUAACUACGUGCCAGCCGCCGCCGUAA
Molecule: ribosomal RNA, 503 nt
Filed under: uncultured bacterium
Lineage: Bacteria
Description: partial 16S ribosomal RNA
Rfam family: Bacterial small subunit ribosomal RNA
Source: RNAcentral